GAUGAACGCUGGCGGCGUGCUUAACACAUGCAAGUCGAACGAAGCAUUACUUUUGAAAGAACUUAGCUUGCUAAGAGCGGACAUGUGUAAUGACUGAGUGGCGGACGGGUGAGUAACGCGUGAGUAACCUGCCUUAUACAGGGGGAUAACAGUUGGAAACGACUGCUAAUACCGCAUAAGCACACAGUACCGCAUGGUACGGUGUGAAAAACUCCGGUGGUAUAAGAUGGACUCGCGUCUGAUUAGCUAGUUGGUGAGGUAAAGGCCCACCAAGGCAACGAUCAGUAGCCGGCCUGAGAGGGUGACCGGCCACAUUGGGACUGAGACACGGCCCAAACUCCUACGGGAGGCAGCAGUGGGGAAUAUUGCACAAUGGGGGAAACCCUGAUGCAGCGACACCGCGUGAAGGAAGAAGUAUUUCGGUAUGUAAACUUCUAUCAGCAGGGAAGAAAAUGACGGUACCUGACUAAGAAGCCCCGGCUAAUUACGUGCCAGCAGCCGCCGCAGUAAUAC
This 513-nucleotide ribosomal RNA is filed under the name uncultured bacterium. RNAcentral describes it as "bacterial SSU rRNA". It matches the Rfam family "Bacterial small subunit ribosomal RNA", at positions 28 to 526 of the family's 1533-position model. The record is from RNAcentral.